Molecule: ribosomal RNA, 602 nt
Filed under: Comamonadaceae bacterium Se1Pw_3224
Lineage: Bacteria; Pseudomonadati; Pseudomonadota; Betaproteobacteria; Burkholderiales; Comamonadaceae
Description: bacterial SSU rRNA
Rfam family: Bacterial small subunit ribosomal RNA
Source: RNAcentral
UGCCGCGUGCAGGAUGAAGGCCUUCGGGUUGUAAACUGCUUUUGUACGGAACGAAACGGUGAGCUCUAAUACAGCUUGCUAAUGACGGUACCGUAAGAAUAAGCACCGGCUAACUACGUGCCAGCAGCCGCGGUAAUACGUAGGGUGCGAGCGUUAAUCGGAAUUACUGGGCGUAAAGCGUGCGCAGGCGGUGAUGUAAGACAGAUGUGAAAUCCCCGGGCUCAACCUGGGACCUGCAUUUGUGACUGCAUCACUGGAGUACGGUAGAGGGGGAUGGAAUUCCGCGUGUAGCAGUGAAAUGCGUAUAUAUGCGGAGGAACACCGAUGGCGAAGGCAAUCCCCUGGACCUGUACUGACGCUCAUGCACGAAAGCGUGGGGAGCAAACAGGAUUAGAUACCCUGGUAGUCCACGCCCUAAACGAUGUCCACUGGUUGUUGGGUCUUCACUGACUCAUUAACGAAGCUAACGCGUGAAGUUGACCGCCUGGGGAGUACGGCCGCAAGGUUGAAACUCACAGGAAUUGACGGGGACCCGCACAAGCGGUGGAUGAUGUGGUUUAAUUCGAUGCAACGCGAAAAACCUUACCCACCUUUGACAUGUA